CGAACGCUGGCGGCGUGCCUAAUACAUGCAAGUCGAACGAGAGCGACCGGUGCUUGCACUGGUCAAUCUAGUGGCGAACGGGUGAGUAACACGUGGGUAACCUGCCCAUCAGAGGGGGAUAACAUCCGGAAACGGAUGCUAAAACCGCAUAGGUCUUCGAACCGCAUGGUUUGAAGAGGAAAAGAGGCGCAAGCUUCUGCUGAUGGAUGGACCCGCGGUGCAUUAGCUAGUUGGUGAGGUAACGGCUCACCAAGGCCGUGAUGCAUAGCCGACCUGAGAGGGUGAUCGGCCACAUUGGGACUGAGACACGGCCCAAACUCCUACGGGAGGCAGCAGUAGGGAAUCUUCCGCAAAGGACGCAAGUCUGACGGAGCAACGCCGCGUGAGUGAAGAAGGUUUUCGGAUCGUAAAACUCUGUUGUUAGAGAAGAACAAGUGCUAGAGUAACUGUUAGCGCCUUGACGGUAUCUAACCAGAAAGCCACGGCUAACUACGUG
This 496-nucleotide ribosomal RNA is filed under the name uncultured bacterium. RNAcentral's name for it is "partial 16S ribosomal RNA". It matches the Rfam family "Bacterial small subunit ribosomal RNA", at positions 30 to 507 of the family's 1533-position model. The record is from RNAcentral.